This 196-nucleotide ribosomal RNA is filed under the name uncultured bacterium. RNAcentral's name for it is "partial 16S ribosomal RNA". It matches the Rfam family "Bacterial small subunit ribosomal RNA", at positions 335 to 524 of the family's 1533-position model. The record is from RNAcentral.
ACUCCUACGGAAGGCAGCAGUGGGAAUUUUGGACAAUGGGCGCAAGCCUGAUCCAGCCAUGCCGCGUGCGGGACGAAGGCCUUCGGGUUGUAAACCGCUUUCAGCCGGAAAGAAAUCGCCAAGGCUAAUAUCCUUGGUGGAUGACGGUACCGGAAGAAGAAGCACCGGCUAACUACGUGCCAGCAGCCGCGGUAAU